AGGUCUGUGGUGUAGAGGAUAUCACUGGAGCCUCCGGAGCUCCGAACCUGGGUUCGAUUCCCAGCAGACCUGC
This 73-nucleotide transfer RNA is filed under the name Methanosarcina mazei. Its description in RNAcentral is "tRNA-Arg". It matches the Rfam family "tRNA". From Rfam's summary of the family: Transfer RNA (tRNA) molecules are approximately 80 nucleotides in length. Their secondary structure includes four short double-helical elements and three loops (D, anti-codon, and T loops). Lineage: Archaea; Methanobacteriati; Methanobacteriota; Methanomicrobia; Methanosarcinales; Methanosarcinaceae. The record is from RNAcentral. RNAcentral also lists the same sequence under 2 other names.